RNAcentral lists this ribosomal RNA (430 nucleotides) under uncultured bacterium. RNAcentral describes it as "bacterial SSU rRNA". It matches the Rfam family "Bacterial small subunit ribosomal RNA", at positions 355 to 776 of the family's 1533-position model. The record is from RNAcentral.
UGAGGAAUUUUGCGCAAUGGGGGAAACCCUGACGCAGCAACGCCGCGUGAGUGAAGAAGGCCUUCGGGUUGUAAAGCUCUGUCGAGUGGGAAGAAAGUAGUGAUCACGAACAGUGGUUAUUAUUGACGGUACCAUAGAAGGAAGCACCGGCUAACUCCGUGCCAGCAGCCGCGGUAAUACGGAGGGUGCAAGCGUUAUUCGGAAUUAUUGGGCGUAAAGGGCGCGUAGGCGGUUUAUCAAGUCAGAUGUGAAAUCCCUGGGCUUAACCCAGGAAGUGCGUUUGAUACUGGUAGGCUUGAGUAUGGGAGAGGAGAGUGGAAUUCCUGGUGUAGAGGUGAAAUUCGUAGAUAUCAGGAGGAACACCGGUGGCGAAGGCGGCUCUCUGGACCAAUACUGACGCUGAGGCGCGAAGGCGUGGGGAGCAAACAGG